UUAGUUCUUACUUUCUUGAUGCUUAGCUCAAUUGGUCACUUAAUGUUUGUAAUAAUUUGUAUCAUUUAUAGUAAGAUUAACUUGUCCAAAGGAUUGUAAAUAUUUGUUUUAAUGUGCUGCACUCAUGGUAUUGUUACUUUUAGAUCUAUCGUCAGCACGUAAGCGAGGCAAAAGAUCUCGAAAUAGGGUUCAUGGCUGUGAUAACCGUUGCGCCGGUUUUGGAAAUUGCUGCCCACCAGGCUAGCCUCUAUGAUUGCAUGCUGUAUGAGAUCUGUCGUAAUAAUCCUAGUCCCUUUAAAAAGCAUUGUGAAAUUAAUAAAAACUAUCUGUUCGAUGACUGAAUUACCAUCUUAAACAAAUUAAAGAACCGUUAAAAAC
Molecule: long non-coding RNA, 378 nt
Organism: Drosophila subpulchrella
Lineage: Eukaryota; Metazoa; Arthropoda; Insecta; Diptera; Drosophilidae
Exons: 3
Source: RefSeq, a predicted model, not a curated record